AUGGGAAAGAAGGGGAAAAAAGGGUUAAGAAACUUGGCUGAAGAGCUGAAUGGCGUCGAGCGGCGAGGGGAGGGACUGGGCCGCGGCGGACUCAGCGGCGGAGGGAGGAGCGCGGCUGCGGGCGGGCGGCGAGCGAGGCGCUCAAAGUCAGCCUCGCAGACAUUGCAGCAGAGCCCCGAACUCGGGAGGCGGCGGCGGCGGCGGCGGAGGAGGAGGCGGCGGCCGAGGCGGAGGGACGACCCGGCCCCACGCCCGCCCGCGCGCCCGCACGCCCGCCCGUGGCCUCGCGUCCGCCGCUGCGCUCGGCAGUGCUGCCGGUCGGAGGCAAGAGCUCGCUGGGGCGCCGAGGGAGGACGGGGCGGUGGGGCGCCUUCGCGGAGUGAGCCUGCCGGAGCCCCGGGCUCGGAGCCGCGGCGGCCUCGGAGUGUUUGGAUUGUGAGCAAUUUAAGCUCUAUCCUCAGGAUCCAUUAUUUUAACAUUUGGGAGAAACACAUCCAGAAGAACACUGAUGUUUGCAUUUAUUGUGGAACGAAAGGUGAAGAAGGAGAAGCAGUACCUUCGCUAAGGAUUCUGUCUGCUUGCUGCUGCAGACCUGUGUGUUGA
Molecule: long non-coding RNA, 603 nt
Filed under: Balaenoptera musculus (blue whale)
Lineage: Eukaryota; Metazoa; Chordata; Mammalia; Artiodactyla; Balaenopteridae
Description: lncRNA (ENSBMSG00010016878.1)
Source: RNAcentral